Molecule: non-coding RNA, 72 nt
Organism: Stegodyphus mimosarum
Lineage: Eukaryota; Metazoa; Arthropoda; Arachnida; Araneae; Eresidae
Source: Rfam
GCCUUCGUGGUGUAAUGAUUAGCACACUCGCCGCGUAUUUGAGAGGUCGAGGUUCGAGUCCCGGCGAGGGCA